RNAcentral lists this ribosomal RNA (462 nucleotides) under uncultured bacterium. Its description in RNAcentral is "partial 16S ribosomal RNA". It matches the Rfam family "Bacterial small subunit ribosomal RNA", at positions 29 to 523 of the family's 1533-position model. The record is from RNAcentral.
AAUGAACGUUGGCGGCAUGGAUUAGGCAUGCAAGUCGGGGGAAUCCCAGCAAUGGGGGAACCGGCGUAAGGGGCAGUAAGGCAUGGGUACCUACCUUGGGGUUCGGGAUAGCCAUCAGAGAUGGUGGGUAAUACCGGAUGACGUCGUGAGACCAAAGAUUUAUCGCCCUUAGAGGGGCCCAUGUGAUAUUAGCUAGUUGGUGGGGUAACGGCCCACCAAGGCGAAGAUGUCUAGCGGGUGUGAGAGCACGACCCGCGCCACUCGCACUGAGACACUGGCGAGACACCUACGGGUGGCUGCAGUCGAGGAUCUUCGGCAAUGAGCGCAAGCUUGACCGAGCGAUGCCGCGUGAGCGAUGAAGGCCUUCGGGUUGUAAAGCUCUUUAGUGGGGGAGAAAAGCCGCAAGGUGUGAUCUAUCCCAAAAAUAAGCACGGGCUAAGUUCGUGCCAGCAGCCGCCGCGG